UACAGAGGUCUCAAGCGUUGUUCGGAUUCAUUGGGCGUAAAGGGUGCGUAGGCGGCGCGGUAAGUCGGGUGUGAAAUCUUGGAGCUUAACUCCGAAACUGCAUUCGAUACUGCCGUGCUUGAGGACUGGAGAGGAGACUGGAAUUUACGGUGUAGCGGUGAAAUGCGUAGAUAUCGUAAGGAAGACCAGUGGCGAAGGCGGGUCUCUGGACAGUUCCUGACGCUGAGGCGCGAAGGCCAGGGGAGCAAACGGG
Molecule: ribosomal RNA, 253 nt
Filed under: uncultured bacterium
Lineage: Bacteria
Description: partial 16S ribosomal RNA
Rfam family: Bacterial small subunit ribosomal RNA
Source: RNAcentral